Molecule: transfer RNA, 76 nt
Filed under: Paenibacillus thalictri
Lineage: Bacteria; Bacillati; Bacillota; Bacilli; Caryophanales; Paenibacillaceae
Description: Paenibacillus sp. N2SHLJ1 tRNA-Phe
Rfam family: tRNA
About the family: Transfer RNA (tRNA) molecules are approximately 80 nucleotides in length. Their secondary structure includes four short double-helical elements and three loops (D, anti-codon, and T loops).
Source: RNAcentral
GGUUUGGCAGCUCAGUUGGCAGAGUGAUGGCCUGAAAAGUCAUGCGCCGCUGGUUCAAUUCCAGCCCGAACCUCCA